CCUACGGGUGGCAGCAGUGAGGAAUAUUGGUCAAUGGACGGAAGUCUGAACCAGUCAUGCCGCGUGCAGGAAGACGGCUCUAUGAGUUGUAAACUGCUUUUGUACAAGGGUAAACCUGAAUACGUGUAUUCAGCUGACAGUACUGUACGAAUAAGGAUCGGCUAACUCCGUGCCAGCAGCCGCGGUAAUACGGAGGAUCCAAGCGUUAUCCGGAUUUAUUGGGUGUAAAGGGUGCGUAGGCGGAUUGAGAAGUUAGAGGUGAAAUGUCCGGGCUUAACUCGGUGACCGCCUCUAAUACUGUUGUUCUAGAGAGUAGGUGAGGUAGGCGGAAUGUAUGGUGUAGCGGUGAAAUGCGUAGAGAUCAUACAGAACACCGAUUGCGAAGGCAGCUUACCAAUCUAUAUCUGACGUUGAGGCUCGAAAGCGUGGGGAGCAAACAGGAUUAGAUACCCGGGUAGUC
Molecule: ribosomal RNA, 460 nt
Filed under: uncultured bacterium
Lineage: Bacteria
Description: partial 16S ribosomal RNA
Rfam family: Bacterial small subunit ribosomal RNA
Source: RNAcentral